AGUGAACGCUGGCGGUAGGCCUAACACAUGCAAGUCGAACGGCAGCACAGUAAGAGCUUGCUCUUACGGGUGGCGAGUGGCGGACGGGUGAGGAAUACAUCGGAAUCUACUUUUUCGUGGGGGAUAACGUAGGGAAACCUACGCUAAUACCGCAUACGACCUACGGGUGAAAGCAGGGGAUCUUCGGACCUUGCGCGAUUGAAUGAGCCGAUGUCGGAUUAGCUAGUUGGCGGGGUAAAGGCCCACCAAGGCGACGAUCCGUAGCUGGUCUGAGAGGGUGAUCAGCCACACUGGAACUGAGACACGGUCCAGACUCCUACGGGAGGCAGCAGUGGGGAAUAUUGGACAAAGGGCGCAAGCCUGAUCCAGCCAUACCGCGUGGGUGAAGAAGGCCUUCGGGUUGUAAAGCCCUUUUGUUGGGAAAGAAAAGCAGCAGGUUAAUACCCCGCUGUUCUGACGGUACCCAAAGAAUAAGCACCGGCUAACUUCGUG
Molecule: ribosomal RNA, 492 nt
Filed under: uncultured bacterium
Lineage: Bacteria
Description: partial 16S ribosomal RNA
Rfam family: Bacterial small subunit ribosomal RNA
Source: RNAcentral